UACGUAGGGUGCGAGCGUUGUCCGGAAUUAUUGGGCGUAAAGGGCUCGUAGGCGGUUUGUCGCGUCUGCUGUGAAAACCCGAGGCUCAACCUCGGGCCUGCAGUGGGUACGGGCAGACUAGAGUGCGGUAGGGGAGAUUGGAAUUCCUGGUGUAGCGGUGGAAUGCGCAGAUAUCAGGAGGAACACCGAUGGCGAAGGCAGAUCUCUGGGCCGUAACUGACGCUGAGGAGCGAAAGCGUGGGGAGCGAACAGG
Molecule: ribosomal RNA, 253 nt
Filed under: uncultured bacterium
Lineage: Bacteria
Description: partial 16S ribosomal RNA
Rfam family: Bacterial small subunit ribosomal RNA
Source: RNAcentral